AUGAAGAACGUAGCGAAAUGCGAUAAGUAAUGUGAAUUGCAGAAUUCAGUGAAUCAUCGAAUCUUUGAACGCACAUUGCGCCCGCCAGUAUUCUGGCGGGCAUGCCUGUUCGAGCGUCAUUUCAACCAUCAAGCCCCAGGCUUGUGUUGGGGACCUGCGGCUGCCGCAGGCCCUGAAAACCAGUGGCGGGCUCGCUGUCACACCGGGCGUAGUAGAUUUUAUCUCGCUCAGGGCGUGCUGCGGGUUCCGGCCGUUAAAAAGCCUUUUUUACCCAAGGUUGACCUCGGAUCAGGUAGGAAUACCCGCUGAACUUAAGCAUAUCAAUAAGCGGAGGA
This 335-nucleotide unclassified non-coding RNA is filed under the name soil metagenome. RNAcentral's name for it is "partial contains 5.8S ribosomal RNA, internal transcribed spacer 2, and large subunit ribosomal RNA". The stretch from base 1 to 119 matches the Rfam family "5.8S ribosomal RNA", at positions 36 to 154 of the family's 154-position model. The record is from RNAcentral.